AAGUCGUAACAAGGUUUCCGUAGGUGAACCUGCGGAAGGAUCAUUAUCGAAUUUCGAGGGGAAGGAAGAUGAGGAGUGGAGACUGUCGCUGGCUUUCCCGCCUGGGAAGCAUGUGCACGCCUUGCUUUUCGUUGACCUUUCUCUUACUCUCACACCUGUGCACCCAUUGUAGGUCCUCGAAAGAGGAUCUAUGUUUUUAUCAUCACACGCGCAUCGUAUGUCCAUAGAAUGUAACAUGAUCGUCGAUCGACCUCGCGGUCGGGUGGCGGUCUAAAUAAAUAAAUACAACUUUCAGCAACGGAUCUCUUGGCUCUCGCAUCGAUGAAGAACGCAGCGAAUUGCGAUAAGUAAUGUGAAUUGCAGAUUUUCAGUGAAUCAUCGAAUCUUUGAACGCACCUUGCGCUCCUUGGUAUUCCGAGGAGCAUGCCUGUUUGAGUGUCAUGGAAUUCUCAACCAUGCCUUGAUCGAUUUCGAGGCAUGGCUUGGACUUGGGGGUUGCUGGCGGCGAAAGCUGUCGGCUCUCCUGAAAUGCAUUAGCAAUGGUCGGCAAGUCUGACGUGCACGGCCUUGACGUGAUAAUGAUCGUCGUGGCUGGAGCGUCGGACGAGCGCAAAUACGUCCGUUUGCUUCCAAUCCUUGACUUUGGGACGUGUAGACUUUCGAGCGGAAAGCUUUAGCUACUAGUUGGUCGUGAGACUAACGAACGCGGGCCGCCUCCGGAGGUCAAAGGGUUCCCUCGUCUAC
Molecule: ribosomal RNA, 744 nt
Filed under: uncultured Boletus
Lineage: Eukaryota; Fungi; Basidiomycota; Agaricomycetes; Boletales; Boletaceae
Description: eukaryotic LSU rRNA
Rfam family: 5.8S ribosomal RNA (bases 287-441)
Source: RNAcentral